RNAcentral lists this ribosomal RNA (687 nucleotides) under uncultured prokaryote. RNAcentral describes it as "bacterial SSU rRNA". It matches the Rfam family "Bacterial small subunit ribosomal RNA", at positions 795 to 1482 of the family's 1533-position model. The record is from RNAcentral.
CCACGCUGUAAACGAUGUCGACUUGGAGGUUGUGCCCUNGAGGCGUGGCUUCCGGAGCUAACGCGUUAAGUCGACCGCCUGGGGAGUACGGCCGCAAGGUUAAAACUCAAAUGAAUUGACGGGGGCCCGCACAAGCGGUGGAGCAUGUGGUUUAAUUCAAUGCAACGCGAAGAACCUUACCUACUCUUGACAUCCACGGAACUUGCCAGAGAUGGCUUGGUGCCUUCGGGAACCGUGAGACAGGUGCUGCAUGGCUGUCGUCAGCUCGUGUUGUGAAAUGUUGGGUUAAGUCCCGCAACGAGCGCAACCCUUAUCCUUUGUUGCCAGCACUUCGGGUGGGAACUCAAAGGAGGCUGCCGGUGAUAAACCGGAGGAAGGUGGGGAUGACGUCAAGUCAUCAUGGCCCUUACGAGUAGGGCUACACACGUGCUACAAUGGCGUAUACAAAGAGAAGCAAACUCGCGAGAGCCAGCGGACCUCAUAAAGUACGUCGUAGUCCGGAUUGGAGUCUGCAACUCGACUCCAUGAAGUCGGAAUCGCUAGUAAUCGUAGAUCAGAAUGCUACGGUGAAUACGUUCCCGGGCCUUGUACACACCGCCCGUCACAUCAUGGGAGUGGGUUGCAAAAGAAGUAGGUAACUUAACCUUCGGGAGGGCGCUUACCACUUUGUGAUUCAUGACUGGGGUG